UCCUCUUUGGGUUUCAGAAUGGGGCCGCAC
Molecule: non-coding RNA, 30 nt
Filed under: Mus musculus (house mouse)
Lineage: Eukaryota; Metazoa; Chordata; Mammalia; Rodentia; Muridae
Source: RNAcentral